This 443-nucleotide ribosomal RNA is filed under the name uncultured bacterium. Its description in RNAcentral is "partial 16S ribosomal RNA". It matches the Rfam family "Bacterial small subunit ribosomal RNA", at positions 338 to 795 of the family's 1533-position model. The record is from RNAcentral.
CCUACGGGAGGCUGCAGUGGGGGAUAUUGGACAAUGGGGGAAACCCUGAUCCAGCGACGCCGCGUGAGUGAAGAAGUAUUUCGGUAUGUAAAGCUCUAUCAGCCGGGAAGAAAGUAAUGACGGUACUUGAGUAAGAAGCUCCGGCUAACUACGUGCCAGCAGCCGCGGUAAUACGUAGGGGGCAAGCGUUAUCCGGAGUUACUGGGAGUAAAGGGAGCGUAGACGGUUAUGCAAGUCUGGUGUGACAGGCGGGGGCUCACCCCCCGAACUGCUCUGGAAACUGUGUAACUGGAGUGCAGGAGAGGCAGGUGGAAGUCCUAGUGUAGCGGUGAAAUGCGUAGAUAUUAGGAGGAACACCAGUGGCGAAGGCGGCCUGCUGGACUGAAACUGACGUUGAGGCUCGAAAGCGUGGGGAGCAAACAGGAUUAGAUACCCCGGUAGUC